GCCAUCUUGAGAAGUCAUGUGUAGGUGGUCGGUCCCAUUGACAACCUCAAAUGAGCUCCCAGCCAACAACCAGCAUCAACUGCCAGUCAGCUUUCGAUGCCAUUGUAUCUGACAUCAUUCUAACAGGAUCAAAUUGAGCAACAACAGCAACCUAAAAAUGAGAAAGCAUGGCUACUUGGAACAAGAUGAAGAAAUAAAGCUUACGGAGGUUAAGUAAAUGACCUGUUCCCAGUGCCGGAAACAGAUGGCACACUGAAAAUUAGGAUAAGUUAAGAAGAAUGUAAUAAGCGGACAACCGACAAAGGAGGGUGGGAAUGCAGGGCAACCGCAAGGGCUCAUACAGUGCUGGGUGAGGAGGACC
This is a long non-coding RNA of Gorilla gorilla gorilla (western lowland gorilla), 361 nucleotides long. RefSeq lists it as uncharacterized. Lineage: Eukaryota; Metazoa; Chordata; Mammalia; Primates; Hominidae. The record is from RefSeq and is a predicted model, not a curated record. The transcript has 4 exons.